UCGAUGAAAAGGUGCUUAGCAUCUGCUCGAACAUAACAGGACUUGAGCCACGUCACGACAGUGACACUAUUUCAAGUAAGUAUUGGCAUGUUUUUGGUUACCAGUUACUAUUUAAAGUGCAAAAGCUCACAUGUAAUAAUAUUUUUCAGAAUCUACUCCUCUGGAAGAAGUUGAAGAUAGUAAUAUUAUUUUUGAAAUAGAAGAAAUACCAGAAAAUUCAUUCCAACCCCAUCCAGUAGUUGAUUUGGCCAUCGGGGAAAUUGUUGAGGACAAUCAAAAAGAAAAUAAUUGGGACAAAUGGCACCCAAAGGCUUUAAAAUCAAGGGUGUCCAAUGUAUUAAAACCAAAUGUCUCCAAAGCUAGUGUCACCGCCAAACUAGACAAAUUAAGCGAAGCUCGACUGGAGCUAGUACAGCUCCAAAUGAAGACUGCCAAACUUGAGCACCAGUUUAUGGAGGAGGAGCAUAAACUGAAAAUGUUGCAUUUAGCUAAUGAUGAGAGAAGAAAAGAAGAAUUACACUCAUUACAAUUAAAACAAAAUGGGUGUAAUUGUGGAGCAGUUCCAAAUACCAUGACUUAGAUUUUUGUUCAUUAUUUUGAAAAAUAAAAACUUGACUUUAAUAAAA
This is a long non-coding RNA of Helicoverpa zea (corn earworm), 626 nucleotides long. RefSeq lists it as uncharacterized. Lineage: Eukaryota; Metazoa; Arthropoda; Insecta; Lepidoptera; Noctuidae. The record is from RefSeq and is a predicted model, not a curated record. The transcript has 2 exons.